Long non-coding RNA from Octodon degus (degu), 226 nucleotides. RefSeq lists it as uncharacterized. The transcript is spliced from 3 exons. Lineage: Eukaryota; Metazoa; Chordata; Mammalia; Rodentia; Octodontidae. The record is from RefSeq and is a predicted model, not a curated record.
ACCGAACCUGGGUCCUUGUGCUUGCCAGGUUAUCAUUUUAUUAGCUGUACCCUUUGCUAUAUAUUUUUUUGACUUGAUAAAAUCUCUAAUGGGCAAUUUUUAAACUAUUAAACCUUCAAGUAUUAUGACAAGGCUGACUUCCAUUUCUGCAUCUAUACUGAAUAAAUGUGAAACACACAAGUGGAUAUUUGUACUUGAACACAAUGGAUUGGAAAAUCUAGUGUGA